Pan paniscus (pygmy chimpanzee) is the source of this 196-nucleotide long non-coding RNA. The record is from Ensembl. Lineage: Eukaryota; Metazoa; Chordata; Mammalia; Primates; Hominidae.
GUGAGAUUGUAAGUAAUCACCAGCCAUGAUGGAGAAAAAGAGCAAUGAAGGAGAUGGAGCAUUACCCUGGCUACAUUCUGCCUGAAGGCAUAUGGAUCCACUCAGCUGCUGAAUUUGAAAGAGCUGUGUCCUUUUCAUGCGGAAGAAAAAUCAUCGACAUAACCCUCUUCCACCCCUACUGAAGGCACUGGAGGAC